CGAGAGUUUGAUCCUGGCUCAGAACGAACGCUGGCGGCGUGCCUAACACAUGCAAGUCGAGCGCGAAUGGAGCAAUCCUAGUAGAGCGGCGCACGGGUGCGUAACACGUGGGUAAUCUGCCUAGAAGACUGGAAUAACCUUGGGAAACCUUGGCUAAUACCAGAUAAGACCACGGGGACUUCGGUCCUUGAGGGAAAAGGUGGCCUCUGUAUACAAGCUAUCACUUCUAGAUGAGCCCGCGGCCCAUCAGCUAGUUGGCGGGGUAAUGGCCCACCAAGGCAACGACGGGUAGCUGGUCUGAGAGGACGAUCAGCCACACUGGAACUGAGACACGGUCCAGACUCCUACGGGAGGCAGCAGUGGGGAAUUUUGCACAAUGGGCGAAAGCCUGAUGCAGCAACGCCGCGUGUGUGAUGAAGGUCUUCGGAUCGUAAAGCACUUUCGACUGGGACGAACACCCCUUGGCUAACAUCCAAGGGCCUGACGGUACCAGGAGAAGAAGCACCGGCUAACUCUGUGCCAGCAGCCGCGGUAAUACAGAGGGUGCAAGCGUUGUUCGGAAUUAUUGGGCGUAAAGCGCGUGUAGGCGGCUUUGCAAGUCGGGUGUGAAAGCCCUCAGCUUAACUGAGGAAGUGCGCCCGAAACUGCUUGGCUUGAGUACCGGAGAGGAUGGCGGAAUUCCCCAAGUAGAGGUGAAAUUCGUAGAUAUGGGGAGGAACACCGGUGGCGAAGGCGGCCAUCUGGACGGAUACUGACGCUGAGACGCGAAAGCGUGGGUAGCAAACAGGAUUAGAUACCCUGGUAGUCCACGCCGUAAACGAUGAGAACUAGGUGUCGUGGGUGUUGACCCCCGCGGUGCCGCAGCUAACGCAUUAAGUUCUCCGCCUGGGAAGUACGGCCGCAAGGCUAAAACUCA
Molecule: ribosomal RNA, 916 nt
Filed under: uncultured bacterium
Lineage: Bacteria
Description: bacterial SSU rRNA
Rfam family: Bacterial small subunit ribosomal RNA
Source: RNAcentral